CCUACGGGAGGCAGCAGUGAGGAAUAUUGGUCUAUGCGCGCUAUCCUGAACCAGCCAAGUAGCGUGAAGGAUGACUGCCCUAUGGAUUGUAAACUUCUUUUAUAUGGGAAUAAAGUGCAGUAUGUAUACUGCUUUGCAUGUACCUUAUGAAUAAGGCUCGGCUAACUCCGUGCCAGCAGCCGCGGUAAUACAGAGGAUCCGAGCUUUAUCCGGAUUUUUUGGGUUUAAAGGGAGCGUAGGCGGGUGGUUAAGUCAGUUGUGAAAGUUUGCGGCUAAACUGUAAAAUUGCAGUUGAUAGUGGCAUCCUUGAGGACAGUAGUGGUAGGCGGAAUUCGUGGUGUAGCGGUGAAAUGCUGAGAGAUCACGAAGAACUCCGAGUG
RNAcentral lists this ribosomal RNA (380 nucleotides) under uncultured bacterium. RNAcentral's name for it is "partial 16S ribosomal RNA". It matches the Rfam family "Bacterial small subunit ribosomal RNA", at positions 338 to 715 of the family's 1533-position model. The record is from RNAcentral.